GGGUUUAUAGUUCAAUGGUAAAAACUUUUCUCUAUAAAUUAGUAGUCUUUGGUUCAAAUCCUAGUAAUACCU
Molecule: transfer RNA, 72 nt
Filed under: Prunus persica (peach)
Lineage: Eukaryota; Viridiplantae; Streptophyta; Magnoliopsida; Rosales; Rosaceae
Rfam family: tRNA
About the family: Transfer RNA (tRNA) molecules are approximately 80 nucleotides in length. Their secondary structure includes four short double-helical elements and three loops (D, anti-codon, and T loops). Further hydrogen bonds mediate the characteristic L-shaped molecular structure. tRNAs have two regions of fundamental functional importance: the anti-codon, which is responsible for specific mRNA codon recognition, and the 3' end, to which the tRNAs corresponding amino acid is attached (by aminoacyl-tRNA synthetases). tRNAs cope with the degeneracy of the genetic code in two manners: having more than one tRNA (with a specific anti-codon) for a particular amino acid; and 'wobble' base-pairing, i.e. permitting non-standard base-pairing at the 3rd anti-codon position.
Source: Rfam by way of RNAcentral